CGGGGUGGAGUAACGUGUGGGCAACCUGCCCUAUACUGGGGAAUAAUCACUGGAAACGGGUGACUAAUACCGCAUGUCAUUACGGAAGGGCAUCCUUCUGUAAGAAAAGGAAGUAAUUCGGUAUAGGAUGGGCCCGCAUCUGAUUAGCUAGUUGGUGAGAUAACAGCCCACCAAGGCGACGAUCAGUAGCCGACCUGAGAGGGUGAUCGGCCACAUUGGGACUGAGACACGGCCCAA
Molecule: ribosomal RNA, 237 nt
Filed under: uncultured bacterium
Lineage: Bacteria
Description: partial 16S ribosomal RNA
Rfam family: Bacterial small subunit ribosomal RNA
Source: RNAcentral